GCAAACUUGGUCAUUUAGAGGAAGUAAAAGUCGUAACAAGGUCUCCGUUGGUGAACCAGCGGAGGGAUCAUUACAAGGCGUCGAAAGACUCCCUUUCAUACCCAUUGUGAACUUUUUUUCAUUCAGUUGCCUCGGCGGGCGACCCCAGGGGAGGGUCUUUGCCAGUCUCUGGUGCUCGCCGAAGGACCUACUACUCUAUACUAUACUGUAUCGUCUGAGAUUACAGCGCAAAUCAUCAAAACUUUCAGCAACGGAUCUCUUGGCUCUAGCAUCGAUGAAGAACGCAGC
This 288-nucleotide unclassified non-coding RNA is filed under the name uncultured fungus. RNAcentral's name for it is "partial contains small subunit ribosomal RNA, internal transcribed spacer 1, and 5.8S ribosomal RNA". The stretch from base 1 to 73 matches the Rfam family "Eukaryotic small subunit ribosomal RNA", at positions 1759 to 1831 of the family's 1831-position model. Lineage: Eukaryota; Fungi. The record is from RNAcentral.